AUGGCUGUCGUCAGCUCGUGCCGUGAGGUGUUGGGUUAAGUCCCGCAACGAGCGCAACCCCUAUUGUUAGUUACCAGCGAGUCAUGUCGGGAACUCUAACGAAACUGCCCGUGCAAACGGUGAGGAAGGUGGGGACGACGUCAAGUCAUCACGGCCCUUACGUCCAGGGCUACACACGUGCUACAAUGGUCGGUACAACGGGCAGCUACACCGCGAGGUGAUGCUAAUCUCUAAAAACCGAUCUCAGUUCGGAUUGAAGUCUGCAACUCGACUUCAUGAAGCUGGAUUCGCUAGUAAUCGCGCAUCAGCAAUGGCGCGGUGAAUACGUUCCCGGGCCUUGUACACACCGCCCGU
RNAcentral lists this ribosomal RNA (354 nucleotides) under uncultured Bacteroidota bacterium. RNAcentral's name for it is "bacterial SSU rRNA". It matches the Rfam family "Bacterial small subunit ribosomal RNA", at positions 1045 to 1397 of the family's 1533-position model. Lineage: Bacteria; Pseudomonadati; Bacteroidota. The record is from RNAcentral.